ACGAGAGGCUCCACUUCUCUAAAAAAGCAGCAGCAAACGGCGUACUUUCCCUCUUUCCAAAACCGAACACCCCCUAAUUCGUUUUCCUCAUUCUCAGCAGAAGAAAAUGAACCAGCUUCUCUAACACAUUCCUCUCUGAAGAAACAGACCCCUCCCCUUUUGUCUCUCUAUGAAAGCGGCUGAAAUCUCCUCCUAAAAUGAAGCCGCUGCUGACAUCUUCUUCUCAAGCCCCCACUAGAGCCUGACAGAUCUAGAACAAAAAUCCAGAUCUGAGAUUUUAGAAAGAGCUAAAAAACACAAAAUAAAGAUAGAAAUAAGAGGAGAUUUCAAGAUUGUUGUCGACUUCGUUCCGUUGCUAUAUUCAACUUCUGUGCCUUAGCUUCAUAAUUUCCGAAAAUCUGAAGCGAUUGAAUCGUUGUCCGUUGCUACUCUGAUGUCCCUACUUUGUUGGCUCGCAUGUUCUGCUUUCUAUUUAGCAAUUCUGAAAUUUUCACAUUGUUCUUGAGGUCCUGAUAGACAGGUCGAGAGCCCUCCAAGCAGGCUAUCAGCUCAGCGGAAGAUGUUGGUACUUCUGAACAUGGUAAUUGUUAGAGUGUACACGGUUCCAGCCUAUGGAUACUAUGAGGUGGCUACUAUGUCGUUCACAAACCUUGAAGUUCUCUUUUGUUUAUUUUUUUAUCACUGUUCUAUCAUCCAUACAAUUUAUGUAUUGAGCAUUGAUUUUGUCUUUUGAGAUUCUGUAGCGCUCAUGUACUCGUUGACACCUAGUCAUUGGGAUGGUCAUAAUUGUGUUAUUGUUGCUAUUUUUAGAUAUUUUAUGAUUAUUCCGGUGUUGAGAUUA
This is a long non-coding RNA of Nicotiana tabacum (common tobacco), 841 nucleotides long. RefSeq lists it as uncharacterized. Lineage: Eukaryota; Viridiplantae; Streptophyta; Magnoliopsida; Solanales; Solanaceae. The record is from RefSeq and is a predicted model, not a curated record.